This 504-nucleotide ribosomal RNA is filed under the name uncultured bacterium. Its description in RNAcentral is "partial 16S ribosomal RNA". It matches the Rfam family "Bacterial small subunit ribosomal RNA", at positions 29 to 523 of the family's 1533-position model. The record is from RNAcentral.
AUUGAACGCUGGCGGCAGGCCUAACACAUGCAAGUCGAACGGUAGCACAGAGAGCUUGCUCUCGGGUGACGAGUGGCGGACGGGUGAGUAAUGUCUGGGAAACUGCCCGAUGGAGGGGGAUAACUACUGGAAACGGUAGCUAAUACCGCAUAACGUCGCAAGACCAAAGUGGGGGACCUUCGGGCCUCACACCAUCGGAUGUGCCCAGAUGGGAUUAGCUAGUAGGUGGGGUAAUGGCUCACCUAGGCGACGAUCCCUAGCUGGUCUGAGAGGAUGACCAGCCACACUGGAACUGAGACACGGUCCAGACGCCUACGGGAGGCAGCAGUGGGGAAUAUUGCACAAUGGGCGCAAGCCUGAUGCAGCCAUGCCGCGUGUAUGAAGAAGGCCUUCGGGUUGUAAAGUACUUUCAGCGGGGAGGAAGGCGGUGGAGUUAAUAACUUCACCGAUUGACGUAACCCGCAGAAGAAGCACCGGCUAACUCCGUGCCAGCCGCCGCCGUAA